Molecule: long non-coding RNA, 552 nt
Filed under: Brassica napus (rape)
Lineage: Eukaryota; Viridiplantae; Streptophyta; Magnoliopsida; Brassicales; Brassicaceae
Description: long non-coding RNA (BNAP_LNC010845)
Source: RNAcentral
GCUGCCAAAUAUGCUAUGUUUACCAAUUUCUAGGUUUGUGUUCGCAAUCACUUGGAGCACCUAGCAACCUCAAAACGAUCGACUUUCACAAUGGAAUCUGCUUUCAAAGAUGGCAUGUAAUGAUUAGCAUGUCCGACGGGAGUAAACCCAUGAAUCACGGAAUCUGCAAAUAGUAUUAUCCAACAAAGAAUCAGGAAAUAAAUUAAAACUAUUAUGUUAAAUAAGUGUGAUAGAUCGAAGAUUAACUUACCUUUUCAUCGAGGAAAAGAACCGUGAUUCCCACAAACUCCCUGUCUUUCUUGAAGUUCAGGGAAUCCCAUAAGCGGAGGAAGCCAGAGGCUAUGCUCUGACUACUAAGACCAAGACGGAGAGACUCGAAGGUUGAGUGACGGACGCCGGGAUGCCGGUUUGACGAACUGGAGAGGCAGAGAGAAACAUUUUCUAGAAGAUGGUUAAAGCUAAGAGGAAUCAAUGAGUUUUGUGGAGAUGCAGAUUGAGUUCAUCAAAGAUGAGAAUCAUAUAUAUAUGGUUUACAGAGGGGCUACAAAUCAG